UACGAAGGGGGCUAGCGUUGCUCGGAAUCACUGGGCGUAAAGGGUGCGUAGGCGGGUCUUUAAGUCAGGGGUGAAAUCCUGGAGCUCAACUCCAGAACUGCCUUUGAUACUGGAGAUCUUGAGUUCGGGAGAGGUGAGUGGAACUGCGAGUGUAGAGGUGAAAUUCGUAGAUAUUCGCAGGAACACCAGUGGCGAAGGCGGCUCACUGGCCCAAUACUGACGCUGAGGCACGAAAGCGUGGGGAGCAAACAGG
Molecule: ribosomal RNA, 253 nt
Filed under: uncultured bacterium
Lineage: Bacteria
Description: partial 16S ribosomal RNA
Rfam family: Bacterial small subunit ribosomal RNA
Source: RNAcentral